This 63-nucleotide transfer RNA is filed under the name Toxicochlespira sp. MNHN IM 2013-9841. Its description in RNAcentral is "tRNA-Val". Lineage: Eukaryota; Metazoa; Mollusca; Gastropoda; Neogastropoda; Conidae. The record is from RNAcentral.
AAAAACAUAGUAUAAAUAAUACAUUUCAUUUACACUGAAAAUAUGUCUACAAGACUGUUUUUU